This 404-nucleotide ribosomal RNA is filed under the name Actinomycetes bacterium. RNAcentral describes it as "Actinobacteria bacterium partial 16S ribosomal RNA". It matches the Rfam family "Bacterial small subunit ribosomal RNA", at positions 355 to 776 of the family's 1533-position model. The record is from RNAcentral. Lineage: Bacteria; Bacillati; Actinomycetota; Actinomycetes.
UGGGGAAUAUUGGACAAUGGGCGCAAGCCUGAUCCAGCCAUGCCGCGUGAGUGAUGAAGGCCCUAGGGUUGUAAAGCUCUUUCACCGGGGAAGAUAAUGACGGUAACCGGAGAAGAAGCCCCGGCUAACUUCGUGCCAGCAGCCGCGGUAAUACGAAGGGGGCUAGCGUUGUUCGGAUUUACUGGGCGUAAAGCGCACGUAGGCGGACGUUUAAGUCAGGGGUGAAAUCCCGGGGCUCAACCCCGGAACUGCCUUUGAUACUGGAAGUCUUGAGUAUGGUAGAAGUGAGUGGAAUUCCGAGUGUAGAGGUGAAAUUCGUAGAUAUUCGGAGGAACACCAGUGGCGAAGGCGGCUCACUGGACCAUUACUGACGCUGAGGUGCGAAAGCGGGGGGAGCAAACAGG